CAGCCAUCAACACUUUGCUGGUACAAAGAAUGUGACCUCUGAAGAAGCUGGCAGCCCUUGCAACCAAGUGAGCUAGUAGAGUGCACCCGGCUUUCCUGUGUCUUCUGGGGUGUUGCUGGGGCUCUGCUGUUUCGUCUGGUCCACUAAUGGGACUAUCAUCUGAGUGUUUUACGGAUUUGUAUUUGUGGCACUACUGGGCAUGGCUCCAUUUGGUCUCAGACACCCAUGGAGCUGUUUUGAACAGAGGAGAGAAAUUCAGGAUUCUACUCAGCCCCUUAACUGGUGUUUGUUUGGAAGCUCACCAUUUGUUUAUCCAACUCUCCUAAAUCAAUCUUCAAUUCAUCUUGCUCAUGGUGUUCCCCAUGUUAUCAUCAUUUGUGCUAAUCUGAGGAUUUGGUGAUGCUGCAUUUCCUGUGAUAUUCCUACGUUGCUCCUGCGAGUUUAUAUUUUCAACCUUCUGAAACCUCCCGUGCAAGAUUUGAUGCUGAUGUUGAUGACAUCACCCAAAAACAUUGACAGGAGGUUUGCAGACCAAGUUUAUACAGGGUCAAGGUCAAGAAAAAGAAGUGAAGACUAUGAAACUUGCAGAUUGGAGAAGACCUAAUGUGUCAGUUAGACCCUGCAAUGGUGCCCAGUGAUCCCCAACUGCAAGAAAUUCCUGUACUUUGU
RNAcentral lists this long non-coding RNA (669 nucleotides) under Homo sapiens (human). RNAcentral's name for it is "HSALNT0217393". Lineage: Eukaryota; Metazoa; Chordata; Mammalia; Primates; Hominidae. The record is from RNAcentral.